This is a long non-coding RNA of Pleuronectes platessa (European plaice), 425 nucleotides long. RefSeq lists it as uncharacterized. Lineage: Eukaryota; Metazoa; Chordata; Actinopteri; Pleuronectiformes; Pleuronectidae. The record is from RefSeq and is a predicted model, not a curated record. The transcript is spliced from 3 exons.
GAAGAACGCUGGUGUUCGUAGCAUGUUGGUGUUCAGGAAACAUGUUGAGGGGGUCAGAGCAAUUCGAUUUUACUCACAAGCGUUAAAUUAUGCCGUUUUUUAAAAAAUAUUAAAUGAAUCUAGAUGCUGUUUACAGCUACUUAUCUUGUUUAGGCCUCUAUUUUAAGCUUUUUUUUUUCACAACGUUUCGUUCAGCAACUUUAGCUGAAACGGUGAACACGUGGAGAGGCUCGAAAGACGGCUAGGCCUCCUGAACAAAAUGGGUUCCAGUGAACUGAGCUCGUGGCCUCGCAUGGUCGAGCUGCUGAUGUCACGGCAGAGCUUCUGUUUCCAGGCAUCUACCACAAUAACAAAAAGGGUUUGUCUUUGAUUGUUUUUAUUAUUCAAGGAUUUUAGUUUCACAAUAAAAAAAGUUGUGGAAUAAA